GCGGUGUCAACUUGGGGCGGUGUCUCCAGAGUCUCCAAGGCCUCGUCUGGAGGCGUGUGUAAGACUCCGGAGCUGGCCGGACGCUGGUCCGCGUCGCACCCCUUUGGGUUCGAAACCCAGUUGCACCACAGUCUUCGCAACUUCGGAGUAGUGGUCUGGGAGCGUCGGUUUCCCCGCUAGGGCGAGGCACCCGGCAGGUGCAGGGUAAGGAGGCCUGAGAGGCCACAGAUCUUGGACACCAGGAUGGAGGAUCUGCUUGUCCUGGCUCCAUGUCUUGGAGUGAUGCCUGCACCAGGCGCAACCACUGGCACCAGGGCCUGAGACCAUGGACGCCUCACUGUCACCUUGUUCCCUGCAUACCACCUCCACAUGCUGUAAAUGUGGAUUAUUAACUGUCUUGCACCCACCAGUGUAAGAGAGGUAUGUGUUCUGUGAUUUCUCCCGCCUCCUUCACCUGCCAACA
Artibeus jamaicensis (Jamaican fruit-eating bat) is the source of this 463-nucleotide long non-coding RNA. RefSeq lists it as uncharacterized. NCBI's taxonomy places the organism in Eukaryota, Metazoa, Chordata, Mammalia, Chiroptera, Phyllostomidae. The transcript is spliced from 3 exons. The record is from RefSeq and is a predicted model, not a curated record.